Betta splendens (Siamese fighting fish) is the source of this 386-nucleotide long non-coding RNA. RefSeq lists it as uncharacterized. NCBI's taxonomy places the organism in Eukaryota, Metazoa, Chordata, Actinopteri, Anabantiformes, Osphronemidae. The record is from RefSeq and is a predicted model, not a curated record. The transcript has 3 exons.
AGCUCAUCAUUGUGUCUGACAGGAAGGACUGCACAUCAGUCUGCUGCAUCACCAGUUCUCCUUUAGAUCCUCCGCUGAUCACAGCAAGAAAAUGCCUGAAGCCGAUGUCGUUUACUCUGAUGUCAGGUUCACAGCAUUGGAGGGAAACAGAGAUGAAACCACCUGCUCUGAAGUGAAGCUCUCAGGAGCUGAGGCGGUGGAGCUGGCAGUUUACCACCCACAGGCGUCAGGUUGGAGGUCAAAGGUCACAGAGAGACGGCGGCUGCUGCUGCUCUGUGUUCUCCUGGCGGCUGUGUGCUAGUGUUUAACUGUUACAGUAGUGGAGGCUGAUUGAAAAACUAGGAAGGAGAAAACUUUCGGGUUUCCAAAAUAAAUACUAACAAUUA